GGCUUGUGGCUCAGUGGUAGAGUGUUCAUCUAGCAUGUGUGCAGCACUGGGUUCGAUCCUCAGCACCA
This 68-nucleotide transfer RNA is filed under the name Marmota monax (woodchuck). RNAcentral's name for it is "tRNA.Ala". Lineage: Eukaryota; Metazoa; Chordata; Mammalia; Rodentia; Sciuridae. The record is from RNAcentral.